UGACCGCUGGCGGCGUGCCUACUACAUGCAAGUCGAGCGAACAGACGCGGAGCUUGCUCCUCUGACGUUAGCGGCGGACGGGUGAGUAACACGUGGAUAACCUACCUAUAAGACUGGGAUAACUUCGGGAAACCGGAGCUAAUACCGGAUAAUAUAUUGAACCGCAUGGUUCCAUAGUGAAAGACGGUUUUGCUGUCACUUAUAGAUGGAUCCGCGCCGCAUUAGCUAGUUGGUAAGGUAACGGCUUACCAAGGCAACGAUGCGUAGCCGACCUGAGAGGGUGAUCGGCCACACUGGAACUGAGACACGGUCCAGACUCCUACGGGAGGCAGCAGUAGGGAAUCUUCCGCAAUGGGCGAAAGCCUGACGGAGCAACGCCGCGUGAGUGAUGAAGGUCUUCGGAUCGUAAAACUCUGUUAUUAGGGAAGAACAAAUGUGUAAGUAACUAUGCACGUCUUGACGGUACCUAAUCAGAAAGCCACGGCUAACUACGUG
This 495-nucleotide ribosomal RNA is filed under the name uncultured bacterium. RNAcentral describes it as "partial 16S ribosomal RNA". It matches the Rfam family "Bacterial small subunit ribosomal RNA", at positions 30 to 507 of the family's 1533-position model. The record is from RNAcentral.